This 356-nucleotide ribosomal RNA is filed under the name uncultured bacterium. RNAcentral describes it as "bacterial SSU rRNA". It matches the Rfam family "Bacterial small subunit ribosomal RNA", at positions 28 to 381 of the family's 1533-position model. The record is from RNAcentral.
GACGAACGCUGGCGGCGUGCCUAACACAUGCAAGUCAACUUGAGGGAAGGAGCAAUCUGACCUGAUGGUGGCGCAAGGGUGCGUAACGCGUAAGUAACUUGCCCAAGGUAAGGAAUAACGUCGAGAAAUCGGCGCUAAUACCUCAUAAAUGCAGCGGAUCCGCAUGGAUAUGUUGUUAAAGGUUUACCGCCUUGGGAUAGGCUUGCGUCUGAUUAGCUAGUUGGUGUGGUAAUGGCACACCAAGGCUACGAUCAGUAACUGGUCUGAGAGGAUGAUCAGUCACACUGGAACUGAGACACGGUCCAGACUCCUACGGGAGGCAGCAGUGAGGAAAUAUUGGGCGAAUAGCACGAAAG